Molecule: ribosomal RNA, 467 nt
Filed under: uncultured bacterium
Lineage: Bacteria
Description: partial 16S ribosomal RNA
Rfam family: Bacterial small subunit ribosomal RNA
Source: RNAcentral
GACGAACGCUGGCGGCGUGCUUAACACAUGCAAGUCGAACGGAAAGGCCCUGCUUUUGUGGGGUGCUCGAUUGGCGAACGGGUGAGUAACACGUGAGUAACCUGCCCUUGACUUUGUGAUAACUUCAGGAAACUGGGGCUAAUACCGGAUAGGAGCUCCUGCUGCAUGUUGUGGGUUGGAAAGUUUCGGCUGUUGGGGAGGGACUCGCGGCUUAUCAGCUUGUUGGUGGGGUAGUGGCUUACCAAGGCUUUGACGGGUAGCCGGCCUGAGAGGGUGACCGGCACCAUUGGGCUACGGGAGGGACCAGGACUGAUACGGGAGCAAACGGCGGGAACCUUACCAAACUGGGCGGAGGCAGGAAGGAGCAACGCCGGGUGGGGAAUCACGGCUUUCGGGUGGUAACACGUUUGCGCGUGACACGACGCGUCGGGAAGGGAAAUGGUCAAGAAGCACCGGCUAACUACGUG